AGGCGGUCCGUACCAUCGACCGUACUUGUUCCGGAUCAACCUGAAAUGAAGCUGUGCAAACUUAGGGCGCAAGAGAAGACAAACCUGAGUUAUCUUGUGACUGUUUGUCGAUAAGGGAGAGCUAGGGCGUGGUCAAUGACAGGCUGUUUUUGAGCUGUAAAGGAAAAGCAGCCUUGACCAUGUAUCUAGCCAUCUUUGUGAGCAAGGUUCAUGGGAGCCUUAAGGGAACCAAUCAGGAAGUAGCCCUUGCCUUGACCAGUUUGAAUUAACCAAUCAGGCGCCAUCAUCUCUCAUCCAAUCACAAGACAUCACGCAGAUUGCAAACUCACCACUCCAUCCUAGCCAUCCAUUCUUCAAGUGAUUUAUCAACCCUUAGAUUUAGGUUUAUGAUGUUUGUAACUUGUAAACCUUAUAUAAGGAGUGUAUGGACGAAAUUGUAUCUCUCUUAAGAGAGAGAGGGGGAUUUCCCCUCCUCCUUCAUAAUACAAAGUGUGUUCUUGGAUAAGAAUCCCUCAAACUACCCCUUUCUUAUACUUAAAUCUCUUAAUCUCUCUAAAUCUCUUGUUUCUGUCCAAGUUCAUACUGUUCUUCAUCAGACCUUUCUCUCUUCAGUUCAAGCUCUCAUUUCGCCCUUAGUGGCUUGUUCUCACACACAAACAGCCUGAGCUCUGAAAACCUAACAUGGUAUCAGAGCCAGGUUCAUCUGAACUUGGUACUAGCUUCCGCAUAUACAUCACAAGUCUAGCGUCAUCACAGAUCCAAACCAUUGAAGAUGUCCAGCCUGUUCUCUCUCUCUUCAAGAAAAAGGUGUUUGAAGCUAUGGUGGUGUCUCCUGGUCGUUCCUCCUCUCUCCAGUCCAUUAAAGGCAUGUCUCAACUCUGUGCCAAGCUGAAACCCUUCAAGAAGAAAGCUUUCAUCUUGUUCCUGAAGUUGGAGACUUGGAGCUGUGAAGAAAGGUGGAACCUUUUGUGUUGUGGUGUCAAGGAGGAGGUUAUGAACACAAGGAGAAGGUGUUGGGUGACGAUCCAGCUCUCUUAUCCACUAGAUUCGUGGCCUGUUACCAAGGAGGCUCAAGGAACCAGCUCAGAUUCCUUGGUUGUAAGCUAAUCCUAAACCUUCUUGACAUGAGCUUGUGAUUGAAACUGGCUGUUGUGUUGUGUUCUUUAUGUUGCAUCUGUGGGUUAAUGACUGAAAAUGCUUGAUAAUAUUGUCUUGUUUAGUCCCAGGAUGCUAUUGAGUCUUAUUUGAUGUUGAGAAAUGAAAUGCUUCCCGGUUUGGUUAUGAUUGUGCUAGGAUGUUAGAAACUGUCUAAAUCCUAUUAGCUUUCAUUAAACUGAAAUCACUUAAGGUUUUGCGUUGUCUGAUGUUGAUUGAUGAUAAGUAAUGCUUUGCCUCAGUUAUAAAUGAAUGUGUGCUAGAUUGUAUUGUCUGAUCUCUUGUUGCAUUCAUGAAUAGAAACUGAUUAAGGUUAGUGUAUACUGUCAUCUUGUUGCUGCCUUAGGUUGAUACACUUAGAUUCAAGUCUAAGAUGUAGUUAAGGCAGAAGUUAAAAUGCCAAAGUAGUUUGUCUUGAAUCUGAUUAGAUCUUGCUUGUACUUAGAGAGAUUGCUUGCAAAGAUGUGAACUUGAUAAUGCUUGUUUCAAUCUGUUGCAUAGCUUGUGACAUUGGAGAUCAAACUUGAUGAUUAGUCAAGGAUUGAUCCCAAUGAUUGUUUCUUAUCAUUGCUGGAGUUUGAGUGAUGUUUCAGGUUCACAUGAUGUGCUCUCUGUCCAUCAUCAAUCCGAGUAGAAGAGGAAGACUUUAUCCAUUGGGAAUGGUCGAUGGGGUGUAUGUGGAUACACAAGGCGAGUGGUCAUCACCUAAGUCUGGAGGAGACCGGUGACCAGAAGGCAUUGGAGAUAAAGGGAAGGGUUGAUCAAUGGUUGAAGCGCACUCUAUGAGAUGUUGCGCUCCUGAUCUUAAGGCUCAUUGAGGCUCACUUCAAGCUUGGACCCAUACUCAAUCCAAGCUUGAGGAGGGGAGCAAAUUGAGCCACCUGAUGAUCAUGUUGCUCAAUGACAUGUGUUACUCAAGGCCAUUGCAAGCUGAUCAUGGAGUGAUCCAGCCAAAGUUGAGGGAAGAAGAAAGUCAUUCAACAAGCUAGUGUGAGGUGCUUGGAGAGUGGGCUGAGGUAUCUCCUCAGUGCAAUGGUGAUGUAGUGGAGGAUUCAAGCAUCAAGUCUGAAACAGAUGGAUGUGCUCUCCACAAGGCUUAUCAUGGAGCUAUCAUGCGCUCACCAUCAAGCUUGGACCUUCCCUAUACUGGGUCUCAAGCUUGAGGGGGAGUGUGGAUGAGCUUGCAUGAUAAGAGAAGGAGCUGUUAAGCUCAACAAGUGAGGGAUUUAAGUGGCGUGUGAAGAGCAGCUACUCCUCACCAUUUAUACAAGGGCGUAAACCUGAUCUCUAUCUCUUUAUAUACAUUCAUGAUAGGUUUAUCUCUUGAGAACUGAUACACUUGUGGAAUGAUGUAUCAGGUACCUUACUUGGAUUCUCAAUGAAGAGGGCGUGAUCUUACCUGAUGGAGAUGGCGAGAAGCCAUGAGAGAAGGGAAGACACAAACCGAGUUCAAGAAGAUGUCUAAGAAGAGUGGUGAAGUGAAGAGGCCGUGAUCCAGAGCCUAUUUGCCUAAACCUCGGUGAUACAAAGGCACAUAGGCUCACUGGCCAAUCCCUAGGCUGGUUUGCUCUACUCUUUUUCCCUUAUCAAGGUUUUGUCCCAAAGGGUUUUCCUUGGUGAGGUUUUUAAUAAGGGGGUUCUUCAAGGUUCCAAGCUUGGCUUAGGAUCGCCUAGAGUCAAGCUUGAGGGGGAGUGUUGACUUGAAGAAAGAAAUGGAGCCGAAGGAGGAGUUGGUUGAGUUUGGGUCUUGAUGAAGGAUAGGACAAGAUCUUCAGAGAUUGUCUGUCAAGGCUUCAGGAGUGUUUAAAGAAGUCUAGAAGUGUCCCGAAGUCAGUGCAAAGAUAGGGUCAAGUCCAGGAGGGACUUAGACACCAUUUGGAGUAGUUUGGGCGAUGGUACAAAGUUAGGGCGAGCGGUACGGACUGGUACGGAUCUGUACGGACCUGUACGGAUCCGUACGGACCGAGGUCGACCAAGAAAUGUUCAGACUCAACAAUUUGAGGAGAUUGGGAGUUGGUGCAAAAAUAGGGCGAGGUACGGACAGGCGGUCCGUACCAUCGACCGUACUUGUUCCGGAUCAACCUGAAAUGAAGCUGUGCAAACUUAGGGCGCAAGAGAAGACAAACCUGAGUUAUCUUGUGACUGUUUGUGGAUAAGGGAGAGCUAGGGCGUGGUCAAUGACAGGCUGUCUUUGAGCUGUAAAGGAAAAGCAGCCUUGACCAUGUAUUUAGCCAUCUUUGUGAGCAAGGUUCAUGGGAGCCUUAAGGGAACCAAUCAGGAAGCAGCCCUUGCCUUGACCAGUUUGAAUUAACCAAUCAGGCACCAUCAUCUCUCAUCCAAUCACAAGACAUCACACAGAUUGCAAACUCACCACUCCAUCCUAGCCAUCCAUUCUUCAAGUGAUUUAUCAACCCUUAGAUUUAGGUUUAUGAUGUUUGUAACUUGUAAACCUUAUAUAAGGAGUGUAUGGACGAAAUUGUAUCUCUCUUAAGAGAGAGAGGGGGAUUUCCCCUCCUCCUUCAUAAUACAAAGUGUGUUCUUGGAUAAGAAUCCCUCAAACUACCCAUUUCUUAUACUUAAAUCUCUUAAUCUCUCUAAAUCUCUUGUUUCUGUCCAAGUUCAUACUGUUCUUCAUCAGACCAUUCUCUCUUCAGUUCAAGCUCUCAUUUCGCCCUUAGUGGCUUGUUCUCAAACACACACAGCCUGAGCUCUGAAAACCUAACAGUUCUUAACACACCCCAAUCUGAUUCUCUAAAAUCUCAUAUAAAUCUCAUAGGAGUUAGGAUGAAAAAGUUAUCCCACUUUCAAAUCAGGUGAUCCCAGUUAUCCUAUUUGGGAAUAUGACAACUUCUUCGUCAUUCUAAUCAAACCAGGAUGAAUCACCAAGAAGUUGAAUAAAUCUCAUAGGAGUUAGGAUGAAGAAGUUAUCCCACUUUCAUAUCAGGUGAUCCCAGUUUUACUGUUUGUGAAUAUGACUACUUCUUUGUCAUUCUAAUCAAACCAGGAUGAAUCACGAUGUGAGAAGCUGUAUAUGGAUACAUAAAGUAACGGAGAAUCACCAGAAAGUUGAAUAAGUCUUAUAGGAGUUAGGAUUAAGAAGUUAUCCCACUUUCAAAUCAGGUGAUCCCAUUUUUCAUGUUUGGAAAUAUGACAACUUCUUUUGUCAUUCUAAUCAAACCAAGAUAAAUCGUGAUCUAAGAAGCUGUAUAUGGAUACAUAAAGCAGUGGAGAAUCACCAGGAAGUUGAAUAAAUCUCAUAGGAGUUAGGAUGAAGAAGUUAUCUCACUUUCAAAUCUGGUGAUCUCAGUUUUCCUGUUUGGGAAUAUGACUACAUCUUUGUCAUUCUAAUCAAACCAAGAUGAAUCGCGAUGUGAGAAGCUGGAUUUUGAUCCAUAAAGUAGUGGAGAAUCACCAGGAAGAUGAAUAAAUCUCGUAGGAGUUAGGAUGAAGAAGUUAACCCACUUUCAAAUCAGGUGAUCCCAUUUUUCCUGUUUGGGAAUAUGACAACUUCUUUGUCAUUCUAGUCAAACCAGAGUGAAUCGCGAUGUGAAAAGUUGUAUUUGGAUACAUAAAGUAGUGUGGAUUCACCAGGAAGUUGAAUAAAUCUCAUAGGAAAUAUGAUGAAGAAGUUAUCCCACUUUCAAAUCAGGUGAUCCCAAUUUUUCUGUUUGGGAAUAUGACUAUUUCUUUGUCAUUCUAAUCAAACCAGGAUGAAUCGUGAUGUGAAAUGCUGUCUUUAGAUACAUAAAGCAGUGGAAAAUCACCAGGAAGUUGAAUAAAUCUUAUAGGAGAUAGGAUGAAGAAGUUAUCCCACUUUCAAAUCAGGUGAUCCUAGUUUUUCUGUUUGGGAAUAUGACUACUUCUUUGUCAUUCUAAUCAAACCAGGAUGAAUCAUGAUGUGAAAUGCUGUCUUUGGAUACAUAAAUCAGUGGAGAAUCACCAAGAAAUUGAAUAAAUCUCAUAGGAGUUAGGAUGAAGAAGCUAUCCCACUUUCAAAUCAGGUGAUCCCAAUUUUCAUAUUUCGGAAUUUGACAACUUCUUUGUCAUUCUAAUCAAACCAAGAUGAAUCGCGAUGUGAGAAGCUGGAUUUGGAUACAUAAAGUAGUGGAGAAUCACCAGGAAGUUGAAUAAAUCUCGUAGGAGUUAGGAUGAAGAAGUUGUCCCACUUUCAAAUCAGGUGAUCCCAGUUUUCCUGUUUGGGAAUAUGACUACUUCUUUGUCAUUCAAAUCAAACCAAGAUGAAUCGCAAUGUGAGAAGCUAGAUUUAGAUACAUAAAGUAGUGGAGAAUCACCAGGAAGUUGAAUAAAUCUCGUAGGAGUUAGGAUGAAGAAGUUAUCCCACUUUCAAAUCAGGUGGUACCAGUUUUUCUAUUUCGGAAUAUGACAACUUCUUGGCCAUUCUAAUCAAACCAAGAUGAAUCGCAAUUUGAGAAACUGUAUUUGGAUACAUUAAGCAGUGGAGAAUCACCAGGAAGUUGAAUAAAUCUCGUAGGAGUUAGGAUGAAGAAGUUAUCCCACUUUCAAAUUAGGUGAUCCCAUUUUUCCUAAUUGGACUGAGAAGCUGUAUAUGGAUACAUAAAGUAGCGGAGAAUCACCAGGAAGUUGAAUAAGUCUUAUAGGAGUUAGGAUUAAGAAGUUAUCCCACUUUCAAAUCAGGUGAUCCCAUUUUUCAUGUUUGGAAAUAUGACAACUUCUUUUGUCAUUCUAAUAAAACCAAGAUAAAUCGUGAUCUGAGAAGCUGUAUAUGGAUACAUAAAGCAGUGGAGAAUCACCAGGAAGUUGAAUAACUCUCAUAGGAGUCAGGAUGAAGAAGUUAUCUCACUUUCAAAUCAGGUGAUCCCAGUUUUCCUGUUUGGGAAUAUGACUACUUCUUUGUCAUUCUAAUUAAACCAAGAUGAAUCGCGAUGUGAGAAGCUGGAUUUAGAUCCAUAAAGUAGUGGAGAAACACCAUGAAGAUGAAUAAAUCUCGUAGGAGUUAGGAUGAAGAAGUUAUCCCACUUUCAAAUCAGGUGAUCCCAUUUUUCCUGUUUGGGAAUAUGACAACUUCUUUGUCAUUCUAGUCAAACCAGGGUGAAUCACCAAGAAGUUGAAUAAAUCUCAUAGGAGUUAGGAUGAAGAAGUUAUCCCACUUUCAAAUCAAGUGAUCCCAGUUUCACUGUUUGCGAAUAUGACUACUUCUUUGUCAUUCUAAUAAAACCAGGAUGAAUCACGAUGUGAGAAGCUGUAUAUGGAUACAUAAAGUAGCGGAGAAUAACCCGGAAGUUGAAUAAGUCGCGAUGUGAGAAGCUGGAUUUAGAUCCAUAAAGUAGUGGAGAAACACCAUGAAGAUGAAUAAAUCUCGUAGGAGUUAGGAUGAAGAAGUUAUCCCACUUUCAAAUCAGGUGAUCCCAUUUUUCCUGUUUGGGAAUAUAUCGCGAUGUGAGAAGCUGGAUUUAGAUCCAUAAAGUAGUGGAGAAUCACCAAGAAGCUGAAUAAAUCUCAUAGGAGUUAGGAUGAAGAAGUUAUCCCACUUUCAAAUCAGGUGAUCCCAUUUUUCCUGUUUGGGAAUAUAUCGCGAUGUGAGAAGCUGGAUUUAGAUCCAUAAAGUAGUGGAGAAUCACCAAGAAGCUGAAUAAAUCUCAUAGGAGUUAGGAUGAAGAAGUUAUCCCACUUUCAAAUCAGGUGAUCCCAUUUUUCCUGUUUGGGAAUAUAUCGCGAUGUGAGAAGCUGGAUUUAGAUCCAUAAAGUAGUGGAGAAUCACCAAGAAGCUGAAUAAAUCUCAUAGGAGUUAGGAUGAAGAAGUUAUCCCACUUUCAAAUCAAGUGAUCCCAGUUUCACUGUUUGCGAAUAUGACUACUUCUUUGUCAUUCUAAUCAAACCAGGAUGAAUCGUGAUGUGAAAUGCUGUCUCUGGAUACAUAAAGCAGUGGAGAAUCACCAUGAAGUUGAAUAAAUCUCAUAGGAGUUAGGAUGAAGAAAUCCCACUUUCAAAUCAGGUGAACUCAGUUUUCAUAUUUUGGAAUAUGACAACUUCUUCGUCAUUCUAAUCAAACCAAGAUGAAUCGCGAUGUGAGAAGCUGGAUUUGGAUACAUAAAGUAGUGGAAAAUCACCAGGAAGUUGAAUAAGUCUCAUAGGAAUUAGGAUGACAAAGUUAUCCCACUUUCAAAUCAGGUGAUCCCAGUUUUCCUGUUUGGGAAUAUGACAACUUCUUGGCCGUUCUAAUCAAACAGGAUGAAUCGCAAUUUGAGAAGCUGUAUUUGGAUACAUAAAGUAGUGGAGAAUCACCAGGAAGUUGAAUAAAUCUCGUAGGAGUUAGGAUGAAGAAGUUAUUCCACUUUCAAAUCAGGUGAUCUCAGUUUUCCUGUUUGUAAAUAUGACUACUUCUUUGUCAUUCUAAUCAAACCAAGAUGAAUUGCGAUGUGAGAAGCUGGAUAUAGAUACAUAAAGUAGUGGAGAAUCACCAGGAAGUUGAAUAAAUCUCGUAGGAGUUAGGAUGACAAAGUUAUCCCACUUUCAAAUCAGGUGAUCCCAGUUUUCCUGUUUGAGAAUAUGACAACUUCUUGGCCGUUCUAAUCAAACAGGAUGAAUCGCAAUUUGAGAAGCUGAAUUUGGAUACAUUAAGCAGUGGAGAAUCACCAGGAAGUUGAAUAAAUCUCAUAGUAGUUAGGAUGAAGAAGUUAUCCCACUUUCAAAUCAGGUGAUCCCAUUUUUCUUGUAUGGGAAUAUGACAACUUCUUUGUCAAUCUAGUCAAACCAGGGUGAAUCGCGAUGUGAAAAGUUAUAUUUGGAUACAUAAAGUAGUGGAGAAUCACCAGGAAGUUGAAUAAAUCUCGUACGAGUUAGGAUGAAGAAGUUAUCCCACUUUCAAAUCAGGUGAUCCCAGUUUUCCUGUUUGGAAAUAUGACAACUUCUUUGUCAUUCUAAUCAAACCAAGAUGAAUUGCGAUGUGAGAAGCUGGAUUUAGAUUCAUAAAGUAGUGGAGAAUCACCAGGAAGUUGAAUAAAUCUCGUAGGAGUUAGGAUGACGAAGUUAUCCCACUUUCAAAUCAGGUGAUCCCAGUUUUCCUGUUUGGAAAUAUGACNNNNNNNNNNNNNNNNNNNNNNNNNNNNNNNNNNNNNNNNNNNNNNNNNNNNNNNNNNNNNNNNNNNNNNNNNNNNNNNNNNNNNNNNNNNNNNNNNNNNNNNNNGUUAUUCCACUUUCAAAUCAGGUGAUCUCAGUUUUCCUGUUUGUAAGAAGACAAACCUGAGUUAUCUUGUGACUGUUUGUCGAUAAGGGAGAGCUAGGGCGUGGUCAAUGACAGGCUGUCUUUGAGCUGUAAAGGAAAAUCAGCCUUGACCAUGUAUUUAGCCAUCUUUGUGAGCAAGGUUCAUGGGAGCCUUAAGGGAACCAAUCAGGAAGCAGCCCUUGCCUUGACCAGUUUGAAUUAACCAAUCAGGCACCAUCAUCUCUCAUCCAAUCACAAGACAUCACACAGAUUGCAAACUCACCACUCCAUCCUAGCCAUCCAUUCUUCAAGUGAUUUAUCAGCCCUUAGAUUUAGGUUUAUGAUGUUUGUAACUUGUAAACCUUAUAUAAGGAGUGUAUGGACGAAAUUGUAUCUCUCUUAAGAGAGAGAGGGGGAUUUCCCCUCCUCCUUCAUAAUACAAAGUGUGUUCUUGGAUAAGAAUCCCUCAAACUACCCCUUUCUUAUACUUAAAUCUCUUAAUCUCUCUAAAUCUCUUGUUUCUGUCCAAGUUCAUACUGUUC
RNAcentral lists this long non-coding RNA (8880 nucleotides) under Brassica napus (rape). Its description in RNAcentral is "long non-coding RNA (BNAP_LNC017856)". The record is from RNAcentral. Lineage: Eukaryota; Viridiplantae; Streptophyta; Magnoliopsida; Brassicales; Brassicaceae.